This 358-nucleotide unclassified non-coding RNA is filed under the name soil metagenome. Its description in RNAcentral is "partial contains 5.8S ribosomal RNA, internal transcribed spacer 2, and large subunit ribosomal RNA". The stretch from base 1 to 120 matches the Rfam family "5.8S ribosomal RNA", at positions 35 to 154 of the family's 154-position model. The record is from RNAcentral.
GAUGAAGAACGUAGCGAAAUGCGAUAAGUAAUGUGAAUUGCAGAAUUCAGUGAAUCAUCGAAUCUUUGAACGCACAUUGCGCCCGUCAGUAUUCUGGCGGGCAUGCCUGUUCGAGCGUCAUUACGCCCCUCAAGUCCCCUGUGGACUUGGUGUUGGGGAUCGGCGAGGCUGGUUUUCGAGCACAGCCGUCCCUUAAAUUAAUUGGCGGUCUCGCCGUGGCCCUCCUCUGCGCAGUAGUAAAACACUCGCAACAGGAGCCCGGCGCGGUCCACUGCCGUAAAACCCCCCAACUUUUUAUAGUUGACCUCGAAUCAGGUAGGACUACCCGCUGAACUUAAGCAUAUCAAUAAGCGGAGGA